Molecule: small RNA, 216 nt
Filed under: Priestia koreensis
Lineage: Bacteria; Bacillati; Bacillota; Bacilli; Caryophanales; Bacillaceae
Description: Bacillus koreensis c-di-AMP sequence
Rfam family: c-di-AMP riboswitch aptamer (ydaO/yuaA leader)
About the family: This family represents a conserved RNA structure found upstream of the ydaO and yuaA genes in Bacillus subtilis and related genes in other bacteria. The ydaO/yuaA element is thought to act as a genetic "off" switch for the ydaO and yuaA genes in its native state.
Source: Rfam by way of RNAcentral
AAAACAAUAGCGCUCAAUCCGAAUAGGAGCGGGGGAACCACGACAAGUACUUCAUGUACUAGGGGUGAAUUCUAGGCAUAGCGAGGCAUUUCAGCAGAAAUUAUCUUCGCCUUUUUCCAUGCCGCCAUUUUUGCAUGUUCAUACAAAAAUGAAGAAAGGGCGACUCUCACUAGCCCUAACCCGACAGCUAACCUCGUCAGCGUAAUGAGAGAAUCG